AUCAAAGAAAAACAAAGAGAUUGUGCAUCACACUAAAUCUUCCAAAAUGUGAUUAUUAUGUUAAACACUUAUUCAAAUAAACAUCUCUAUAACAAUUCACCUUAUUAAAUUAUCACUUAUUAUAAAAUCUAUAGGUAUUCAAUUCAUGCUAGUCUAUUAUAACUGAAUAUCUGAAACUUAGAAAAACAUUGUAUUGUAAAAGAUAAUUUUAAUAAAUUAGCAAUUUAAAAACAAGAAAGUAGUUAAUAAAUUUACGAAGGAUCAUAAUUAUAUUAGAUUUCAUAGAUUAGAAAAUUAUGAUAAAUUGGUUGCCUUAGAAGGAGAAAAAUUUGAUAGAUUUAAGGAGAAGGAUCAUUUUAGACAUUCCCAUUGGCCCGAUAGGGAAGGUAGGUAUGUAGGUUUCGUAUUGAUCUCCACGUUGCGGCGACCUUUAAUAUCCCCUCUCUUCUAACUUCUAGCCUGUUGGAUGAAAUGAGAGGAAUAGAGCAACGAGGGAAGUCGAGGGGAGUCCUGAACGCGACCUACAACAAGCACCGACAGGCGCACAGCUGAUUUCGUAACGACCAAGCGACACUCCCGGAGUUUCACCGUUCUCCGGAAACGCGUAUUGUGUCACGGUCAACAAACACGACGUCAUAAUCGGCUGAAGAAGCUCAGUGAUUUUUCAGAUCAUUGAACUUGUUCGUUUUUAUACGAAUAAUAGAAAAACGACUUAACUAUGUUUUAUCAGAGCUAUGAUUCAUAAAAUUGAGAGCAUACCUUGUCUUCUGUAAGAGAAUGUUGCAUUGUUUUAUUAAACUGGAAUAGUUUGGCUUGGAACAAUUUUUUUUUCUUUCAAAAUAUAAUAUAAUAAUAAUAUAAUAAUUAAUAAUAAUAAAUAUAAUUUUCAAAGUAUAAUG
Molecule: long non-coding RNA, 899 nt
Organism: Apis dorsata (giant honeybee)
Lineage: Eukaryota; Metazoa; Arthropoda; Insecta; Hymenoptera; Apidae
Exons: 3
Source: RefSeq, a predicted model, not a curated record